This is a ribosomal RNA of 482 nucleotides. It matches the Rfam family "Bacterial small subunit ribosomal RNA", at positions 27 to 506 of the family's 1533-position model.
GGACGAACGCUGGCGGCGUGCCUAAUACAUGCAAGUCGAGCGGACCCUUCGGGGUUAGCGGCGGACGGGUGAGUAACACGUAGGCAACCUGCCUGUAAGAYYGGGAUAACUACCGGAAACGGUAGCUAAGACCGGAUAACUAAGUGGAAUGCAUGUUCCGCUUAUGAAACACGGYGCAAGCUGUGGCUUACAGAUGGGCCUGCGGCGCAUUAGCUAGUUGGCGGGGUAAYGGCCCACCAAGGCGACGAUGCGUAGCCGACCUGAGAGGGUGAUCGGCCACACUGGGACUGAGACACGGCCCAGACUCCUACGGGAGGCAGCAGUAGGGAAUCUUCCGCAAUGGACGAAAGUCUGACGGAGCAACGCCGCGUGAGUGAUGAAGGUUUUCGGAUCGUAAAGCUCUGUUGCCAGGGAAGAACGUCUGGGGGAGUAACUGCCCCURGAAUGACGGUACCUGAGAAGAAAGCCCCGGCUAACUACGU